Molecule: long non-coding RNA, 407 nt
Organism: Amblyraja radiata (thorny skate)
Lineage: Eukaryota; Metazoa; Chordata; Chondrichthyes; Rajiformes; Rajidae
Exons: 4
Source: RefSeq, a predicted model, not a curated record
AGCGGCGGGUGGAGCGGGUAGAAGACGCCGCCAGGACGCGUGCGCGCGAGGGGGGUGGAUCCUCUCGGCGGGCAGGCAGGAGGGAAGGAAGGAAGGAAGGAAGGUUCUGGAUGUUGGCGAAGCACCAUCGGUAGAUGUGCAGCUAACAGCAGAAGAUGAACUUUACCCCUGGAGUAAUGUUGGCUUUCUCGCUGUUGAGUGCUUUAUGGAGCAGUGCAGUUGUGGGAGAAGAAUUGUUGAAACAAUUAUUUAAAGAUACGCCAAAAGCACAAGAAAUGAACUACAAUGAUAUAAUUAGCAGAAUCAUGAACAUUAAUAGACCUUUACGUAAGAAUUUGCAAUAAUUUUUUGUAUUCAUUCAAAUUGUUUAAUGUUUUCACAAUGCUGUUAUGAAAUUGACCAAUGGA